GAAUUCGAUUAACGCGAAGAACCUUACCUGGGCUCGAACGGCUUCUCAACGGCUGUAGAAAUAUGGCUACCCCGCAAGGGGGUGGAGUCGAGGUGCUGCAUGGCUGUCGUCAGCUCGUGUCGUGAGAUGUUGGGUUAAGUCCCGCAACGAGCGCAACCCUUGUCCUGUGUUGCCAUGCCGAAAGGCGGAACUCGCAGGAGACCGCCAGCGAUAAGCUGGAGGAAGGUGGGGAUGACGUCAAGUCCUCAUGGCCUUUAUGUCCAGGGCUACACACGUGCUACAAUGGACGGUACAAUACGUCGCUAACCUGCGAAGGGGAGCCAAUCGUCAAAAACCGUUCUCAGUUCGGAUUGCAGGCUGCAACUCGCCUGCAUGAAGCUGGAAUCGCUAGUAAUGGCAGAUCAGCACGCUGCCGUGAAUACGUUCCCGGGCCUUGUCACACCGAAUCACUA
Molecule: ribosomal RNA, 452 nt
Filed under: uncultured soil bacterium
Lineage: Bacteria
Description: bacterial SSU rRNA
Rfam family: Bacterial small subunit ribosomal RNA
Source: RNAcentral